AACCCUUGUCCUUAGUUACCAGCACGUUAUGGCGGGCACUCUAAGGAGACUGCCGGUGACAAACCGGAGGAAGGUGGGGAUGACGUCAAGUCAUCAUGGCCCUUACGGCCUGGGCUACACACGUGCUACAAUGGUCGGUACAAAGGGUUGCCAAGCCGCGAGGUGGAGCUAAUCCCAUAAAACCGAUCGUAGUCCGGAUCGCAGUCUGCAACUCGACUGCGUGAAGUCGGAAUCGCUAGUAAUCGUGAAUCAGAAUGUCACGGUGAAUACGUUCCCGGGCCUU
RNAcentral lists this ribosomal RNA (283 nucleotides) under uncultured Pseudomonas sp. RNAcentral's name for it is "partial 16S ribosomal RNA". It matches the Rfam family "Bacterial small subunit ribosomal RNA", at positions 1100 to 1382 of the family's 1533-position model. Lineage: Bacteria; Pseudomonadati; Pseudomonadota; Gammaproteobacteria; Pseudomonadales; Pseudomonadaceae. The record is from RNAcentral.